RNAcentral lists this ribosomal RNA (468 nucleotides) under uncultured bacterium. Its description in RNAcentral is "partial 16S ribosomal RNA". It matches the Rfam family "Bacterial small subunit ribosomal RNA", at positions 28 to 507 of the family's 1533-position model. The record is from RNAcentral.
GACGAACGCUGGCGGCGUGCUUAACACAUGCAAGUCGAACGGGACGUCCCUGCUUUUGUGGGGUGCUCGAGUGGACAACGGGUGAGCUACACGUAAGUAACGUGCCCCUGACUUUGGGAUAACUUCAGGACACUGGGGCUCAUCCCGGCUAGGAUCUCCCGCUGCUUGGUGGGGGUUGGAUAGUUUCGGCGGUUGGGGAUGGACUCGCGGCUUAUCAGGAUGUUGGUGGGGUGGUGGCUUACCAAGGCUUUGACGGGUAGCCGGCCUGAGAGGGUGACCGGGCACAUUGGGACUGAGAUACGGCCAAGACUCAUACGGGAGGGAGAAGUGGGGAAGAUGGCACAAUGAGAGGAAGCGUGAUGCAGCAACAGCGCGUGCGGGAUGACGGCGUACGGGUUAGAAUCCGCUUUCGCUUGUGACGAAGCGUAUAUGGCGGGAAUGGGGAGAGAAGCACCGGCUAACUACGUG